This 478-nucleotide ribosomal RNA is filed under the name uncultured bacterium. RNAcentral describes it as "partial 16S ribosomal RNA". It matches the Rfam family "Bacterial small subunit ribosomal RNA", at positions 28 to 507 of the family's 1533-position model. The record is from RNAcentral.
GAUGAACGCUGGCGGCGUGCUUAACACAUGCAAGUCGAACGGGAAACCUUUUAAUGAAGCUUCGGCAGAUUUAGCUGGUUUCUAGUGGCGGACGGGUGAGUAACGCGUGGGUAACCUGCCUUAUACAGGGGGAUAACAGUCAGAAAUGACUGCUAAUACCGCAUAAGCGCACAGGACCGCAUGGUCCGGUGUGAAACACUCCGGUGGUAUAAGAUGGACCCGCGUUGGAUUAGCUUGUUGGUGGGGUAACGGCUCACCAAGGCGACGAUCCAUAGCCGGCCUGAGAGGGUGAACGGCCACAUUGGGACUGAGACACGGCCCAGACUCCUACGGGAGGCAGCAGUGGGGAAUAUUGCACAAUGGGGGAAACCCUGAUGCAGCGACGCCGCGUGAAGGAAGAAGUAUCUCGGUAUGUAAACUUCUAUCAGCAGGGAAGAUAGUGACGGUACCUGACGAAGAAGCCCUGGCUAACUACGUG